This 168-nucleotide ribosomal RNA is filed under the name Elassoma boehlkei (Carolina pygmy sunfish). RNAcentral's name for it is "partial 12S rRNA". The record is from RNAcentral. Lineage: Eukaryota; Metazoa; Chordata; Actinopteri; Centrarchiformes; Elassomatidae.
UACCGCGGUUAUACGAGAGGCCCAAGUUGUAAGACAUCGGCGUAAAGGGUGGUUAAGGAAAAUUAAAACUAAAGCCGAAUACUAUCAAAGCUGUUAUACGCACCCGAUAGUAAGAAGAUCAACCACGAAAGUAGCUUUAUACCCCCUGAACCCACGAAAGCUAUGAUA